Molecule: long non-coding RNA, 418 nt
Filed under: Populus tremula
Lineage: Eukaryota; Viridiplantae; Streptophyta; Magnoliopsida; Malpighiales; Salicaceae
Description: long non-coding RNA (PTRE_LNC001160)
Source: RNAcentral
ACCUCUUGAAGUUUAUUUCUUCUUUACUCCUUUUUUUUUGAUUAACGUGGGUGUCCGGGUCAGCUUAAGCGUAUUUCGACUAAUCCUACACGUCCUGAAAGUUAACGACUAUGUAAGCCUUUAGUGACUAUCAUAUUAGCAACCAUAGGAUUUGAAUUUGAAACCACAGGAGGAGCAAACCCCUUGGUUCCAAACUCUUAUCACUAGGUCACCUACUAGAUAGUUAUUUGUUGCUUACUCUUUUUUUUUUGGUAACCCGAGGUGUCCGGGUCAGCUUACUCGCACCACGACUAAUCCCCGGACUCACUGAACAUCCUGCAAGCCCAAUGAGCAGGUAAGGCACCGCGGGGAUGACAGGCGUGCACAAGCAAGACUUGAACCCUGGUGCAGAGGAAGGACACAAGGCCCUUCCACCGCU